AAGGAAAGUAGUUUUUUUUAUGUUGUUGAGUAAGUGGUUUUUCUUAUUUUGGUUAGUGUUUGCUGUUAGGAUUGGGGUUCAGAGUUUUGACUAUAUUAGGGUCAGUUUGGGGAUUUGUGAAUGGUUUUUAGAGAGAAUGGUUAGGUAAGAGAUCAAAGUUUGAACUAGGGGUUAGGCUUUGGGGUGAUGGGGAGGGUAGAGAUUAAACAGGUUUAUUUCGAGUGUUGAUCAUGUUUUAAUGUCGGGUUUAGCAGUGAAAAGCACGGAUGAGGGCUAAGGUUAAUGUUUUCUACGAUCAUGCCUCAUCCAAUACUAGAAUAGG
Molecule: long non-coding RNA, 322 nt
Organism: Octopus sinensis (East Asian common octopus)
Lineage: Eukaryota; Metazoa; Mollusca; Cephalopoda; Octopoda; Octopodidae
Exons: 4
Source: RefSeq, a predicted model, not a curated record